This is a long non-coding RNA of Lontra canadensis (Northern American river otter), 148 nucleotides long. RefSeq lists it as uncharacterized. NCBI's taxonomy places the organism in Eukaryota, Metazoa, Chordata, Mammalia, Carnivora, Mustelidae. The transcript is spliced from 3 exons. The record is from RefSeq and is a predicted model, not a curated record.
GUGUAGACACUUGCUGUAUGUCAACGCUUUACGGGAGUUAUUGCACCUAAGCCUCAGAACAACUUUAUGAGAAGAUUUCCCAGAGGUGGGAAUACCAGUUCCCACAGGUAGGAUGCAGACUUACAAGUGGAUUUUCCAGUAGGAUCUU